Small nuclear RNA from Octodon degus (degu), 191 nucleotides. Its record names the gene U2. It matches the Rfam family "U2 spliceosomal RNA". From Rfam's summary of the family: U2 is a small nuclear RNA (snRNA) component of the spliceosome (involved in pre-mRNA splicing). Lineage: Eukaryota; Metazoa; Chordata; Mammalia; Rodentia; Octodontidae. The record is from Ensembl.
AUUGCUUUAUGGACUUUUAGCUAAGAUAAAAUGUAGUAUCUGUUCUUAUUAGUUUAAUAUUUGAUGUGUCUUCUAUGUAAGGACAAUGUAUUCAAUAGAUUUUUGGAGCUGGGGAAUAGACUAGGAGCUUCCUCUCUCCAUUCCGGGCAUUGACCUGGUAUCGUGGUAUGUUCUGGAAUGAUGCCCCCUCU